This 253-nucleotide ribosomal RNA is filed under the name uncultured bacterium. RNAcentral's name for it is "partial 16S ribosomal RNA". It matches the Rfam family "Bacterial small subunit ribosomal RNA", at positions 524 to 776 of the family's 1533-position model. The record is from RNAcentral.
UACGUAGGGCGCAAGCGUUGUCCGGAAUUAUUGGGCGUAAAGAGCUCGUAGGCGGCUUGUCACGUCGGGUGUGAAAGCCCGGGGCUUAACCUGGGAACUGCAUCCGAAACUGCCUUGCUAGAGUAUGGGAGAGGGAAGUGGAAUUUCCGGUGUAGCGGUGAAAUGCGUAGAUAUCGGAAGGAACAUCAGUGGCGAAGGCGACUUCCUGGACCAAUACUGACGCUCAGGUGCGAAAGCGUGGGGAGCAAACAGG